This 380-nucleotide unclassified non-coding RNA is filed under the name uncultured Micrococcaceae bacterium. RNAcentral describes it as "contains 16S-23S intergenic spacer region". The record is from RNAcentral. Lineage: Bacteria; Bacillati; Actinomycetota; Actinomycetes; Micrococcales; Micrococcaceae.
UCCGGUUUGUCACCGGCAGUCACCUUAGAGUCCCCACCAUCACGUGCUGGCAACAUAGAACGAGGGUUGCGCUCGUUGCGGGACUUAACCCAACAUCUCACGACACGAGCUGACGACAACCAUGCACCACCUGUGAACCAGCCCCAAAGGGGAAACCACAUCUCUGCAGCGGUCCGGUCCAUGUCAAGCCUUGGUAAGGUUCUUCGCGUUGCAUCGAAUUAAUCCGCAUGCUCCGCCGCUUGUGCGGGCCUCCGUCAAUUCCUUUGAGUUUUAGCCUUGCGGCCGUACUCCCCAGGCGGGGCACUUAAUGCGUUAGCUACGGCACGGAACCCGUCGAUAGGGUCCCACACCUAGUGCCCAACGUUUACGGCGUGGACUAC